This 500-nucleotide ribosomal RNA is filed under the name uncultured sulfate-reducing bacterium. RNAcentral's name for it is "bacterial SSU rRNA". It matches the Rfam family "Bacterial small subunit ribosomal RNA", at positions 227 to 718 of the family's 1533-position model. The record is from RNAcentral.
GAGUCCGCGUCUCAUUAGCUAGUUGGUAGGGUAAUGGCCUACCAAGGCAACGAUGAGUAGCUGGUCUGAGAGGAUGAUCAGCCACACUGGAACUGAAACACGGUCCAGACUCCUACGGGAGGCAGCAGUGGGGAAUAUUGCGCAAUGGGCGAAAGCCUGACGCAGCAACGCCGUGUGAGGGAUGAAGGCUUUCGGGUCGUAAACCUCUGUCGGAAGGGAAGAACGGGCAUUGGUCUAAUAGGCCUUUGUUUUGACGGUACCUUUAGAGGAAGCACCGGCUAACUCCGUGCCAGCAGCCGCGGUAAUACGGAGGGUGCAAGCGUUAUUCGGAAUUACUGGGCGUAAAGCGCACGUAGGCCGCUUUGUAAGUCAGGGGUGAAAUCCCACGGCUCAACCGUGGAACUGCCUUUGAAACUGCAGAGCUUGAAUCCUGGAGAGGGUGGCGGAAUUCCUGGUGUAGGAGUGAAAUCCGUAGAUAUCAGGAGGAACACCGGUGGCGA